UACGUAGGGGCAAGCGUUAUCCGGAUUUACUGGGUGUAAAGGGAGCGCAGACGGAACUGCAAGUCUGAUGUGAAAGCCCACGGCUUAACCGUGGGGGGUCAUUGGAAACUGGUCGACUUGAGUGCAGAAGAGGGAAGUGGAAUUCCAUGUGUAGCGGUGAAAUGCGUAGAGAUAUGGAGGAACACCAGUGGCGAAGGCGACUUUCUGGUCUAUUAUUGACGCUGAGGCUCGAAAGCAUGGGUAGCAAACAGGAUUAGAUACCCGGGUA
Molecule: ribosomal RNA, 268 nt
Filed under: uncultured prokaryote
Description: partial 16S ribosomal RNA
Rfam family: Bacterial small subunit ribosomal RNA
Source: RNAcentral